UUGGCAAAGUCUGAAAAAAGACU
This 23-nucleotide microRNA is filed under the name Callorhinchus milii (elephant shark). Its description in RNAcentral is "Cmi-Novel-5_5p (mature (guide))". Lineage: Eukaryota; Metazoa; Chordata; Chondrichthyes; Chimaeriformes; Callorhinchidae. The record is from RNAcentral.